AAAUGUGAACGUCCCAGUCCCGUGUUUGCAGUAAAUGGGGAAUUGCCUCAGCGGCUGCAGGCCUGAGUGAGCGCCGCCAUCUUUAUUCGGGACAACGAUUCACUGGACACGUGCGGAGCCGCCAUCUUUGUAGGGGGCAAGGUGCAGCCAGGCGCAUGUGCAGCCUCUCUCUGGUACAGAGUCAUUGUGAUGACAGCAGCCAAUCCUGCUCUGAUUCACCUCUGGGCUCCCUCAGGACCACUUUGUCAAUGUCCAGCUUCCUCAGUCUCCAACCAUGGGGAUCCCAGUGAUUAAUGCCAAAGCCCUGUUGCCUGGGGAGAGGGUGAUGUUUGACUUUCUUGUACAGCUGCAGUUUGUGUGGUGAAGGUGCUCCCACAAUGUGGUUGGAUCCCAGUGAUUAAUGCCAAAGCCCCAUUGCCUGGGGAGAGGGUGAUGUUUGACUUCCUUGUACAGCUGCAGUUUGUGUGGUGAAGGUGCUCCCACAAUGUGGUUGGGUGGACAUUCAGAUGGUAACCUCAGUAUUUGUAACACCAAACUCUGACAGAAUUACUCAAUUCAUCAGGACCUGGAUAUUUGCAUUUAGUUGGUACUGAAAGGGUGGAUUUGUGAAUGAGAAAUUCAAAUUGAGCUUCAUGUUCAGACCUGAUGGUUACUGGAUCCGUGCCGACCUGAAUAUCAUUGGCCUUUUCAUCUGGAAGGAAAGGGUACUAGAUCGUGAAGGUUUGCAGACUGAAAUCUCAAACUCGUGCAGAUUGUGAUUAAGUUAACCAGCAUUUGAAGAACCAAAGAUGGAGAAUGACUCGGCCAAAAUCCAGCAACCCUGU
Molecule: long non-coding RNA, 824 nt
Organism: Hemiscyllium ocellatum (epaulette shark)
Lineage: Eukaryota; Metazoa; Chordata; Chondrichthyes; Orectolobiformes; Hemiscylliidae
Exons: 6
Source: RefSeq, a predicted model, not a curated record